AGGAAUGAAAUGUUAGUACUCAAGUGUCCUCUCUUCUCAAAAGAGAAGCUACGUGCUCAGGAUGCACACAGGAUGUGGGGGAGGCCAAUGGCAGGACAGUGGAAUCAUGGCAUGAUCUUGGAUAUCUAUCCUACGCAAUCAUGAAUGCUGCCUUUAUGCCACAUACAGCGAUCAUAUCUGUGUUUCUUAUUUCUAUACUGUUGUCUUCUUAGUUUCCUCAGAGGGAUGUAAGUAUAUGUCAUCUACAAUGUCCAAUACAGAUGGUUAAGCUCAGCAGGAGCUGAGAAACUGGAGCCCAAACCAACAUUGUUUGGCAUUGAAGAGGGCCCACAGGCAGGAAUGCAACAUGCAUUUCCAGGGAGGACACAAGGAGUCUUGUUGUCAUUCUCAAUGCCCAAAUAACAACAGCUGCUUAAAACACCUGCCUCCAACAUCAGCUAGAAGAUUGUACAGUAUCCUAUCAGAUUCUGAUCUGGGCACAGUGAUUCACAUGUUUGUGUCCUCUUGGCUUGAUUAUUGUUUAUUAUUACACCUAUGAAUGAAGCUACCAGUGUUGAUGCCAAUAGUUACUGCAUAUGCACUAGAACUGAUAGAAAAAAUUCUGCCAAUUUCUUUUAACAGAAGAACAAUUUUUAUACAAACUUGUUUUGGGGGUGACUUUCUUUCUCCUCACCCCAGGAAAAGAAACAUUUCACAAUGAACUCUAACUCGCACAUCUUCUGGGAUGAGCAGGUACAAAAGUUUGAGCAGCUUAUUUUCAAAUUUGGUCAUGGUUUGCUCUCUGUGUGCUUAGUCUAUUCUGGUCUGGGAAUAAUAUUCAGUGUGAGGUAUAGUGUUGAAAUGAGUUCAAGUCAGACACUUGAAAGAGCUGAUUUUAGGUUAGUGACUUUUUCCGCUAUAUCUGGGCGAUGGACACUGGAGCAAAGAGUCUGGAAUGCUGAAAAUUUUUAUGAGAAGGGAUAGGAGAGUUUUGACAUUGAAUUUCAUUGUUAUGUGUUUCCAAAUAUAGUGGUUAAGGUGUUUUUACCCAUAUGUUGUUUGAUCUUUAUGAUUAUAUGUCUGUAUCUAUAUGCUUCACUAUAGAUAUUCAUAAUUGGCCAGCGGAAGGGAAUCUACACUCAACUAGAGGGCAUUUGUCUGCUUAAUUAAAAAAGAGCCAAUUAACUAUUUUACUGAAAACUGCAAAACGAGAAAAGAUUGAUUGCCACUAAAAAUAGGUUACUGGCUGAUUUGCUUCUGAUGUCACACUACCACUAGGGAACUUCUAGGUCCUAUGGAAGGGAAAAUAUUUUUCCAUCAGAAAAUGCUGAUGCAUCAAGAAAAUUUCUGAAAAAGAAACGGACACCCUCAAGCCCCAGCUCUGCCUGUUUCAGAGCAGAGACUUGAACAUGACUCUUUGAUAUCCCAUGUGAAUUCCCUAACAACCAGACUUCUGGCUAUUCUAGGUCUUGUUUUUGUCUGGGUUGGGGGGAGGAAUACAAAAGGUUUCACAUUUGUUCUAAUGUGGGAUGAAAACAAAUUUCAAAACCUCAACAUUUUUGCAAAAUAGAAUUAUUGUUUUGCAGUCAGCCCUUUACGCAGAGCCCCUAGCAUGGGGGAGGGGCAGUGAAUUGGGUACCCUGCUAUGCAGCGGAGAUGGAAAUGGAGAACAAACAGAGCCUUGGGAAUGGGGGCAAGGGAAAUGAAGGGGCACCCAGACCCCUUAGCAUGAGGGGAAAUGGAAAUGAAGGGGAACAUAGGGCUAAAGAUAGACCGGGAUGGAAGGGUGGGACACCAGGGUUGUAGAAUGGAGGGCUGCAAGCAGUCCCUGGCUUGUGCCAUGAGAAGGCCCACAUAAGCAAUCAAACGUGCAGUUACCCACCAUUGUCUAGUCCUCAAAAGAAGAAAAGGACUUAUAAGAGGCCCUAAUUAUGGGAGACCUCUUUUAGCUCAAGUGAUGGUGGUCUUUGGGCUGGAAGACAAGAGUUCUACUCUAGUCUCUCAAGCAUCUGUGUGAUAUAUCCAGGAACAAUGUCUAUUUUCAACAUAUGGAUUCUUUACAUCUAUUGGAAAUCUUAGAAGAAUGGAUUUUCUUGUGAAAUUGAGUCAUUGUUUUCAGUUGAGCCAGAGAAUACCAUGAGAAUUGCUUUUCUCGUGCUUUCUGUGCUCUUUUGCUCCCUGGGCCUGGUCAGAAUUAGGAGGUACCCAGGCAUGUAAAAAUGAAAAUUGGUUUAAAAAAAGUUAUUGAAACUUUUCCACCUUUCAAAAAAGGGUCAAUAGAGGCCCAUUUCCAAUAGAGGGCCUAUGACUGGGUCAGUUUUCCCAUCCCUACUAUCUCUUUUGUCUGAUAUGAAUCUUUGUGUACCUUUGUGGAGAAAUGUAUGCUCUUCUAUUUUCAUGUGACUUUCCAACUGGCAGCCUAAAAUAAUUUGAAUCAAACCUUUAUUCCUGAGAUGUUGCUUCACUUUAUCAAACUGACAUAAUGUUUUCAAUAAAUCUAAGCUUUUAUCCAGGG
Long non-coding RNA from Chelonia mydas (Green sea turtle), 2494 nucleotides. RefSeq lists it as uncharacterized. The transcript has 3 exons. NCBI's taxonomy places the organism in Eukaryota, Metazoa, Chordata, Testudines, Cheloniidae. The record is from RefSeq and is a predicted model, not a curated record.